This 93-nucleotide transfer RNA is filed under the name Anaerolineae bacterium. Its description in RNAcentral is "tRNA-Ser". It matches the Rfam family "tRNA". From Rfam's summary of the family: Transfer RNA (tRNA) molecules are approximately 80 nucleotides in length. Their secondary structure includes four short double-helical elements and three loops (D, anti-codon, and T loops). Lineage: Bacteria; Bacillati; Chloroflexota; Anaerolineae. The record is from RNAcentral.
GGGGAGGUGCCAGAGUGGUUGAUUGGGGCCGCCUGCUAAGCGGUUGUGGGGCUAGUAACUCCACCCAGGGUUCGAAUCCCUGCCUCCCCGCCA